This 303-nucleotide signal recognition particle RNA is filed under the name Brachypodium distachyon (stiff brome). RNAcentral describes it as "SRP RNA Plant_SRP". It matches the Rfam family "Plant signal recognition particle RNA". The record is from Rfam by way of RNAcentral. Lineage: Eukaryota; Viridiplantae; Streptophyta; Magnoliopsida; Poales; Poaceae.
GCUGAGUUCAGUAACGUGAGCUUGUGACCCGAGUGGGGGCUUUGAGGUGGUGUGGACUUUGCCGUACGGAUGUGAACCUGGGCCGGGAUUGCUACUGAUGGCCCGCCCGUUCCAAGUUGCGUAGUGAAUCGCUGGGGCUUAUGCGAAAGCUGGGCCGCACGAUUCUUAAAGCGGCAGGCACAGCGUGAGGCUGGCUUCACAGAGCAGCGAGAACUGUCCGCUUCCAACGGUGGAAGGAUAACGGGCCGCUGCAUUCCUGGCCCUCUUGGGCUUCAUAGCCUAUUCCAAAGAACCACCAUCUUU